ACAGAGGGUGCGAGCGUUGUCCGGAAUCACUGGGCGUAAAGGGCGCGUAGGCGGCUUCUUAAGCGUGCGGUGAAAGCCCGGGGCUCAACCCCGGGUCGGCCGUGCGAACUGGGGAGCUGGAGCACUGUAGAGGCAGGCGGAAUUCCGGGUGUAGCGGUGGAAUGCGUAGAGAUCCGGAAGAACACCGGUGGCGAAGGCGACCUGCUGGGCAGUGGCUGACGCUGAGGCGCGACAGCGUGGGGAGCAAACAGGA
RNAcentral lists this ribosomal RNA (253 nucleotides) under uncultured prokaryote. RNAcentral's name for it is "partial 16S ribosomal RNA". It matches the Rfam family "Bacterial small subunit ribosomal RNA", at positions 525 to 777 of the family's 1533-position model. The record is from RNAcentral.